Molecule: unclassified non-coding RNA, 336 nt
Filed under: soil metagenome
Description: partial contains 5.8S ribosomal RNA, internal transcribed spacer 2, and large subunit ribosomal RNA
Rfam family: 5.8S ribosomal RNA (bases 1-120)
Source: RNAcentral
GAUGAAGAACGCAGCGAAAUGCGAUAAGUAGUGUGAAUUGCAGAAUUCAGUGAAUCAUCGAAUCUUUGAACGCACAUUGUGCCCCUUGGUAUUCCAUGGGGCAUGCCUGUUCGAGCGUCAUUUGUACCUUCAAGCUUUGCUUGGUGUUGGGUGUUUGUCUCGCCUUUGCGUGUAGACUCGCCUUAAAACAAUUGGCAGCCGGCGUAUUGAUUUCGGAGCGCAGUACAUCUCGCGCUUUGCACUCAUAACGACGACGUCCAAAAGUACAUUUUUACACUCUUGACCUCGGAUCAGGUAGGGAUACCCGCUGAACUUAAGCAUAUCAAAAGCGGAGGA